Molecule: long non-coding RNA, 836 nt
Organism: Helicoverpa armigera (cotton bollworm)
Lineage: Eukaryota; Metazoa; Arthropoda; Insecta; Lepidoptera; Noctuidae
Exons: 3
Source: RefSeq, a predicted model, not a curated record
GAGGGCUAUCACAAAUUUUCGAGUUUUAUACGAGUUUUGAUGCGUCAUUAUGCUUUGGAUAUAGUCACAAAAAAAAAACAAAAAUAAGAUUAAGAAAGUUUGAUCAUUUAUCUUGGGGCUGUUUUCAAUAAAUAUUUUAAUUUGUCCACGUACAUCAGUAAAAUCUUUGUCUCUGCAAAGGAUGUUUCAUAAAAUGUUGCUUUUGGGAAUCUUUUGAUGCUUCAGUACUACGAGGAUAUAGCAAUUUAACCAUUUAUAAAAAUGUUCAAGAUACAACUAUAUCUUGUACUUGUGCUUGCUUACACCAAUUUAUUACAAUUCAUACAGUAAUACACCAAAAAUAAUUCUAUAAAACUGAGAGUUACUGACAAUUUUCCGUACGAAACUAUAUUUUUUAUCUAUGAAAGUAUAAUCCAAAUUCAAAUAAAACAUAUUUAAUAAUUAAGGUGGUAUUGUUAUAAAGCUUGAAAAAAAAAAUUGGUCUAUUUAAAAGUAAAACAAUAUUUUAAAAUAAUUUUUGUUUGCAAUGCAAAAAUCAAUAUAAAUCUUGUGACGCGCGGUGUUCAACUUUAGUCAGCGCCAGCGCCAGGCGCUUAUCGAGGGUGGACGUAUCGCUCGCUGUUGCGCCGCGCAAACUCGCCGGAGCUCGAAAAAUAUAGCGCAACCUGCGCAACGAACUCGUUUUGAUACUAGAUAAUGAAAGCAUAUUUAAUUCAGAUUAUCAGACUCAAUCGGAUACCAGUACAAAUAAUAUGGAAAAUGAAGAUACAAUACAUGGAAGACGAAUUAUAGAUUUUAGUUUUUUUAUAAAUCAAUUACUUACACCUAAUUGAUAA